RNAcentral lists this ribosomal RNA (497 nucleotides) under uncultured bacterium. RNAcentral's name for it is "partial 16S ribosomal RNA". It matches the Rfam family "Bacterial small subunit ribosomal RNA", at positions 28 to 507 of the family's 1533-position model. The record is from RNAcentral.
GAUGAACGCUGGCGGCGUGCCUAAUACAUGCAAGUCGAGCGAACAGACGAGGAGCUUGCUCCUCUGACGUUAGCGGCGGACGGGUGAGUAACACGUGGAUAACCUACCUAUAAGACUGGGAUAACUUCGGGAAACCGGAGCUAAUACCGGAUAAUAUAUUGAACCGCAUGGUUCAAUAGUGAAAGACGGUUUUGCUGUCACUUAUAGAUGGAUCCGCGCCGAAUUAGCUAGUUGGUAAGGUAACGGCUUACCAAGGCAACGAUGCGUAGCCGACCUGAGAGGGUGAUCCGCCACCGCGGAACUGAGAUUAGGUCCAGACUCCUACGGAAGGCAGCAGUAGGGAUUCUUCCGCAAUGGGCGAAAGCCUGACGGAGCAACGCCGCGUGAGUGAUGAAGGUCUUCGGAUCGUAAAACUCUGUUAUUAGGGAAGAACAAAUGUGUAAGUAACUAUGCACGUCUUGACGGUACCUAAUCAGAAAGCCACGGCUAACUACGUG